CCCGCUGAGUUUAAGCAUAUAAAUAAGCGGAGGAAAAGAAACUAACAAGGAUUUGUUGUAAUUAGGGAGUUUAGAGAAUGA
RNAcentral lists this non-coding RNA (81 nucleotides) under Brassica napus (rape). RNAcentral describes it as "rRNA LSU_rRNA_eukarya". It matches the Rfam family "Eukaryotic large subunit ribosomal RNA", at positions 24 to 103 of the family's 3401-position model. The record is from Rfam by way of RNAcentral. Lineage: Eukaryota; Viridiplantae; Streptophyta; Magnoliopsida; Brassicales; Brassicaceae.